MicroRNA precursor from Monodelphis domestica (gray short-tailed opossum), 59 nucleotides. NCBI's taxonomy places the organism in Eukaryota, Metazoa, Chordata, Mammalia, Didelphimorphia, Didelphidae. The record is from Ensembl.
AGGAGCUUACAUUCUACUGGGGGAGUUCUUGGAACCUAUUUUAGAUUAUAAGCUCCUGG